AUUCGGUUCACCUGCUCCAAGUUAAUCUGUCUCCUUGCUCCACCUGGUUUUCACUCCAUAUAUAUACACCUGUUCAGUUAGUCAUUGUGGAAACAUUUUUAUCUGAUCAUGUCUUUUUCACAGAUCAUGUCUUGUUUUUUGCUGAUGCCAUGCCUGUCUCGCCUGUACGUUUGUUGUUUUGUUCCUGCCUCCUGCUGGGCCGUGGAGCUGGAGGACCGAAGGUGUGACAGGUGUUCUUCAUUGACUCAUCAGUUCAGAGGACUAUAUGAGGGCGGCUCACCUGCACUUCUGCGCCUGAGUGUUUUUGCCCUUUGUGGCACCAUAGCCUUGCUCUUGGUUGGAGAUCUCAAGAAAACCUCUGAUCACAGUCUGGACUCUGGAUUCAUUCCAUGCAGCGGGCCGCCCAGGAUACCUCUCUUGUCUGGUUAAGUGAACCCUGUCCACGCUCCUACGGUUCCUCCUGGAUCAUCAAGAAGCCCCAACGGAAUCAGCACCACCUCACUGUCCUAGACUCGCAACCAUCUCCCCCCUGGCGGAUCGCCCCACCUGAAUAAUAAGCCUAACCACAGAAUUAGCAAGUCUGGUAUCCCGAUCUGAACUCACCUUGUUGUUUUCCCUUC
Long non-coding RNA from Girardinichthys multiradiatus, 620 nucleotides. RefSeq lists it as uncharacterized. The transcript has 3 exons. The record is from RefSeq and is a predicted model, not a curated record. Lineage: Eukaryota; Metazoa; Chordata; Actinopteri; Cyprinodontiformes; Goodeidae.